Molecule: ribosomal RNA, 496 nt
Filed under: uncultured bacterium
Lineage: Bacteria
Description: partial 16S ribosomal RNA
Rfam family: Bacterial small subunit ribosomal RNA
Source: RNAcentral
GAUGAACGCUGGCGGCGUGCCUAAUACAUGCAAGUCGAGCGAACAGAUGAGGAGCUUGCUCCUCUGACGUUAGCGGCGGACGGGUGAGUAACACGUGGAUAACCUACCUAUAAGACUGGGAUAACUUCGGGAAACCGGAGCUAAUACCGGAUAAUAUAUUGAACCGCAUGGUUCAAUAGUGAAAGACGGUUUUGCUGUCACUUAUAGAUGGAUCCGCGCCGCAUUAGCUAGUUGGUAAGGUAACGGCUUACCAAGGCAACGAUGCGUAGCCGACCUGAGAGGGUGAUCGGCCACACUGGACCUGAGACACGGUCCAGACUCCUACGGAGGCAGCAGUAGGGAAUCUUCCGCAAUGGGCGAAAGCCUGACGGAGCAACGCCGCGUGAGUGAUGAAGGUCUUCGGAUCGUAAAACUCUGUUAUUAGGGAAGAACAAAUGUGUAAGUAACUAUGCACGUCUUGACGGUACCUAAUCAGAAAGCCACGGCUAACUACGUG